Molecule: ribosomal RNA, 501 nt
Filed under: uncultured bacterium
Lineage: Bacteria
Description: partial 16S ribosomal RNA
Rfam family: Bacterial small subunit ribosomal RNA
Source: RNAcentral
AUUGAACGCUGGCGGCAGGCUUAACACAUGCAAGUCGAGCGGGGGAAGGUAGCUUGCUACCGGACCUAGCGGCGGACGGGUGAGUAAUGCUUAGGAAUCUGCCUAUUAGUGGGGGACAACAUCUCGAAAGGGAUGCGAAUACAGCAUACGUCCUACGGGAGAAAGCAGGGGCUCUUCGGACCGCGCGCUAAUAGAUGAGCCUAAGUCGGAUUAGCUAGUUGGUGGGGUAAAGGCCUACCAAGGCGACGAUCUGUAGCGGGUCUGAGAGGAUGAUCCGCCACACUGGGACUGAGACACGGCCCAGACUCCUACGGGAGGCAGCAGUGGGGAAUAUUGGACAAUGGGGGGAACCCUGAUCCAGCCAUGCCGCGUGUGUGAAGAAGGCCUUAUGGUUGUAAAGCACUUUAAGCGAGGAGGAGGCUACUUUAGUUAAUACCUAGAGAUAGUGGACGUUACUCGCAGAAUAAGCACCGGCUAACUCUGUGCCAGCAGCCGCAGUAA